This 231-nucleotide long non-coding RNA is filed under the name Ananas comosus (pineapple). RNAcentral describes it as "long non-coding RNA (ACOM_LNC033117)". The record is from RNAcentral. Lineage: Eukaryota; Viridiplantae; Streptophyta; Magnoliopsida; Poales; Bromeliaceae.
CAAAGACAAAGCUCCAAUUCAGAUUUUUGAAGAAUAACGACAUGAAAUCCACGAAUCGAGCAAUCUAAAUAUACUAAACAACACGAUAAACACAUGCCGACUAUAUAGCUACUUAGGAGGUAAACCGACGAUUAACUCACCUCGAAACGCUAAACCAACACUGGCGCGACGUCAAAACGGCAGAAUCACACGCUCGCUUGGUCUCCCAACGCAGCGACCAUAAUGCUUGUG